This 3116-nucleotide long non-coding RNA is filed under the name Piliocolobus tephrosceles (Ugandan red Colobus). RNAcentral's name for it is "lncRNA (ENSPTEG00000020331.1)". The record is from RNAcentral. Lineage: Eukaryota; Metazoa; Chordata; Mammalia; Primates; Cercopithecidae.
ACGAAAAUAACAAACGAAAGAAUAAUUUAAAUCGUCACAUAAAUAAUAAACAAAUUUACAAUCCCACUGAAAACAUAUUUAACGAAGUCUAUGGUUUUAAUUACAAAUCAUCUGAUAGUGAUUCAUCUCUAAGUUUUAAAGAGGUAACACCGAUGCAAGCAAAUAGUGAUGAUUUUUAUCAAUCCUUUUUAUAUAAAAGUGUUGAAAAUCUGGACAAUAUAACGACAGAGUUUGAACGUAGUUACGAAGAAGAAAAAGCAAAAAUAAAUAACUCUGACAUGGACAUACAAAAUGACCAUAUAAAUAACAAACAGUUAUUAAAUAACGAACAGUUAUUAAAUAAUAACAAAAUAGAUAUAAAUUCGAUCACAAAAGGGUUAAACCAUCCUAAUUUUAUUAACUAUGAAAUUGAUAAAAAAUGGAAUGGUUUAGAUCUUGCAAUGAACUCUGAAUAUGGUACAAACAGGAAUGAUAUCACAAAGAAGGAUGACAGUGGAUCAGACCGAUAUGUGCGCAAAAUAAAAAAUAAAGAAAAUGCCAAACUAACAGUAGAAGAAAAAGAAUUAAUUUUUAAAGGGCAAAAAUUAGGAACCAGUCAUGAAAAUAAUAGUAGCAAUAAUAAAGACACCUAUGUAACAGAUAAAGCUGAACAUAAUAAUUAUUAUGCCACUAAAAUGUUAUCACAUAUUUAUACACAAGAAGAUAAUGGACAUAAAAACGAUCAUUUAAAAAACGAUUUUUUAAAAAACAAUCUUUUUAAUAAAAAAUUGUUUUUGUCUAAUAAUAAAUACGAUUUAGAUUCAAACAAUUUUAUUUCAAAUAACGAUAUAAAAAAUGAUAAUUCGUUAAAAACACCAAUAAAUAGUUAUAACAGUAAUAAACAAUUAGAAAAAAUAAAGUAUCCACUAUUGAACAUAAACAAUAGCACAAAUGUUGCAUCUGUUGAUUUGGGUAUGUGUAAUAGAUAUAGUAACAUUAAUGAAGCUAAUAUAAAAUCAGAAGAAGAAGCAGAAGAAGAAGAAGAAGAAGAAAAAGAACGAAACAAAAAAAAAAGGUACUAUGAAAAGAGCAGCAGUGACAGUGACAGUAGUAGUAAUAGUGGUAGUACUAGUAGUAGUGAUAGUGAUGAAAAUAACGAAAGUAACAGAGAUAAUGAUGACAAUAGUAACGGAAACAUAAAUUAUAAUAGCGAGAAUAACGGAAAUAAUAAAGGCCAAAAUAGAGGCAAUAACAAGGGCCACAAUGGCAACAAUAAUAAAAACCACAAUGGCAGCAAUAACAAGAACCACAAUGGCAGCAAUAACAAGAACCACAAUGGCAACAAUACUAAGGGUCAAAAUGGAAGCAAUUCUGAAGGCUACAAUGACAGCAAUAAUAACUCCAUUUACAAUUCAAACUACAUCGAGCGAUUUAACUCUAUUAUUAGUACGUAUUCAUGGUCUCCUGAAAAUUUAAAAGAGGAAUCAAUAGAAACUAUUAUAAAUAAAGCUAAUAGUAGUGUUAAUGAUAAUAACAGUGAAAGUAGCGAAACAUCAUCAAAUACUGAUAUUUUUGUUAAAAAUGCAUUGGAAUUACAAUCUGAUUCUAACACAUCUUCUGAUAAUAUUUAUGAGAAGAAUGUAAAAAAUAAAUAUAGUAAUUUAAAACGUUACCUAAAAAUCAACAAAGAAAAACAAAAUGAAAAUUCUAUAUACAAAACUAGAGUUGAUCAUAUAAAAAAAAUAAAAAAAACAAGUUUAACCGAGUCAUUUAUUGAUAUAAUUGAAGGAGCAAAUGGAAGUAAUAUUUUCCGUAUGAAUACGCUUAGCAAUAAUGUACAUGCUAGUAUACAAAAACAAGCUAAUAAAUAUGCAUUUUCAAAUAAAAAAAAUCAAAAUAUGCAAAAAAAUAAGCAAAAAAAUAAAAAAGUUUUGAAAAAAAAACAAACUAAUUCACAGUUGUAUAAUAAUUCCAAUUUUUCUUAUAACAGUAAUGAUGAAAACAAUUUAAAUAGCGGUAUACGAACAUAUUUACCAAAAAAUAGCAACCCUGAUAAAUGUACAAACAAUUCAAACAUUAGUUAUGAAUGUCGUGACGAUAUAACGACAUGUUCCACAGACGAUGUAUUACAUAAUGAAUCCGACAGUGCUGCAUUAACAAAUGUUAUCAUAAAUGCCAGUUUUAGUACAAGCUCUAAUACCAGUUCCAGUGUCGUUAGUAAGAAAAAUAACCAAAAAGUAAAAAAAAAACAACCAAAAUAUGAUCAAACAACAAAUUAUUCAAAAACAAAAGCUAACAAACAAAACUUACCAGUACAAAAUUUAGAUACUUCGAAUAAUAGAAACAUAAAUUUUGAUUUGUUUGAUUACCAAAACCCCCCUAGCGACAAAACUACGAACCUAACUAGCGACAAAACUAUUAGCCUAACUAGCGACAAAACUACCAGCCUAAAUAGCGACAAAACUACCAGCCCUACUAGCAACAAAACUACCAGCCUAACUAGCCACAAAACUACCAACCUAACUAGCGACAAAACUACCAGCCCUACUAGCGACAAAACUACCAGCCUAACUAGCAACAACAGUAAUCUUACCAGUGCCCCUAGCAACAUCAAUAAUAACGCAUUCGAUCAAGAUAAUAGUUACUCCAUCUUUUAUAGUAACACUAAGCAUGUAAUGGACAAUAAAAAUAAUACGAACAGUGAAAAAUAUACUAACUUGAGUAGUUAUAUAAGCGCCAAUUCGAACAAAACCAUAUAUACCAAUGCUAAUUCCAACGAUAUACAAAAUAAAAACAAGACCAACAAACAUAACCAAAUAAACACUUUUCAACAACCAAAAGAAAUAAAACAAAUUCAGCAAAAACUAGACGAACAAACACAAACUAAAGAAUACAAUACAAAUCCCAACCUUAAAAGUAAUUCUAAAUUGUCCUUAAAUUCUCAUAAUACAUUUAAUAGUAGCGAAUACCAAGAAACAAACCCAUGUGAUUAUUCUUCAGAUAUUAUACAAAGUAAUAAAAAUAUUAUUGUACCUAAUAGGGUUCCUUUUUUAUUUUUUCACUUAUUGCAUGCCUUUGUGUACUCGCUGUACCAUUGUUUGAUAUAUUAUCAUUAUAUUUUGAUUCAAAUGAAAAAU